GGGCCCCUAGCUCAGUGGUAGGGUAUCUACCUUUUAUACAGAAGGUCCCAGGUUCAAUUCCUGGCAUGUAUCUCCA
Non-coding RNA from Podarcis lilfordi (Lilford's wall lizard), 76 nucleotides. The record is from the annotation of a GenBank genome assembly. NCBI's taxonomy places the organism in Eukaryota, Metazoa, Chordata, Lepidosauria, Squamata, Lacertidae.